RNAcentral lists this unclassified non-coding RNA (167 nucleotides) under Alfaria dandenongensis. RNAcentral describes it as "partial internal transcribed spacer 2". The record is from RNAcentral. Lineage: Eukaryota; Fungi; Ascomycota; Sordariomycetes; Hypocreales; Stachybotryaceae.
CAACCCUCAGGGCCCGCCUGCUUGCAGGCGCGGCGCUGGUGUUGGGGAUCGGCUUCCCGCCGUCCCCCAAAUACAGUGGCGGUCUCGCUGCAGCCUCCCAUGCGUAGUAGCAACACUCGCACGCGGAGCGCGGCGCGGCCACGCCGUAAAACCCCCGACUUUCUGAA